This 506-nucleotide ribosomal RNA is filed under the name uncultured Gammaproteobacteria bacterium. RNAcentral's name for it is "bacterial SSU rRNA". It matches the Rfam family "Bacterial small subunit ribosomal RNA", at positions 235 to 732 of the family's 1533-position model. Lineage: Bacteria; Pseudomonadati; Pseudomonadota; Gammaproteobacteria. The record is from RNAcentral.
GUCGGAUUAGCUAGUUGGUGAGGUAAAGGCUCACCAAGGCGAUGAUCCGUAGCUGGUUUGAGAGAAUGACCAGCCACACUGGAACUGAGACACGGUCCAGACUCCUACGGGAGGCAGCAGUGGGGAAUAUUGGACAAUGGGGGCAACCCUGAUCCAGCGAUGCCGCGUGUGUGAAGAAGGCCUGAGGGUUGUAAAGCACUUUUAGUUGGGGAAGAAGGGCAUAGGAUUAAUACCCUUAUGUUUUGACGUUACCCAAAGAAUAAGCACCGGCAAACUCUGUGCCAGCAGCCGCGGUAAUACAGAGGGUGCGAGCGUUAGUCGGAAUUAUUGGGCGUAAAGGGCGCGUAGGCGGAUAAUUAAGUGGGAUGUGAAAGCCCCGGGCUCAACCUGGGAACGGCAUUCCAAACUGGUUAUCUAGAGUAUAGUAGAGGUGAGUGGAAUUUCUGGUGUAGCAGUGAAAUGCGUAGAGAUCAGAAGGAACACCAGUGGCGAAGGCGGCUCACUGG